Molecule: ribosomal RNA, 393 nt
Filed under: uncultured bacterium
Lineage: Bacteria
Description: partial 16S ribosomal RNA
Rfam family: Bacterial small subunit ribosomal RNA
Source: RNAcentral
AUACGGAGGAUCCGGGCGUUAUCCGGAUUUAUUGGGUUUAAAGGGAGCGUAGGUGGACAGUUAAGUCAGUUGUGAAAGUUUGCGGCUCAACCGUAAAAUUGCAGUUGAUACUGGCUGUCUUGAGUACAGUAGAGGUGGGAGGAAUUCGUGGGGUAGCGGUGCAAUGCUUAGAUAUCACGAAGAACUCCGAUUGCGAAGGCAGCUCACUGGACUGCAACUGACACUGAUGCUCGAAAGUGUGUGUAUCAAACAGGAUUAGAUACCCUGGUAGUCCACACAGUAAACGAUGAAUACUCGCUGUUUGCGAUAUACAGUAAGCGGCCAAGCGAAAGCAUUAAGUAUUCCACCUGGGGAGUACGCCGGCAACGGUGAAACUCAAAUGAAUUGACGGGG